AAUAGAUACCCUGGUAGUCCACGCCGUAAACGAUGAGUGCUAAGUGUUAGAGGGUUUCCGCCCUUUAGUGCUGCAGCUAACGCAUUAAGCACUCCGCCUGGGGAGUACGGCCGCAAGGCUGAAACUCAAAGGAAUUGACGGGGGCCCGCACAAGCGGUGGAGCAUGUGGUUUAAUUCGAAGCAACGCGAAGAACCUUACCAGGUCUUGACAUCCUCUGACAACCCUAGAGAUAGGGCUUUCCCCUUCGGGGGACAAAGUGACAGGUGGUGCAUGGUUGUCGUCAGCUCGUGUCGUGAGAUGUUGGGUUAAGUCCCGCACCGAGCGCAACCCUUGAUCUUAGUUGCCAGCAUUCAGUUGGGCACUCUAAGGUGACUGCCGGUGACAAACCGGAGGAAGGUGGGGAUGACGUCAAAUCAUCAUGCCCCUUAUGACCUGGGCUACACACGUGCUACAAUGGAUGGUACAAAGGGCUGCAAACCUGCGAAGGUAAGCGAAUCCCAUAAAGCCAUUCUCAGUUCGGAUUGCAGG
This 529-nucleotide ribosomal RNA is filed under the name uncultured bacterium. RNAcentral's name for it is "bacterial SSU rRNA". It matches the Rfam family "Bacterial small subunit ribosomal RNA", at positions 777 to 1304 of the family's 1533-position model. The record is from RNAcentral.